Molecule: long non-coding RNA, 303 nt
Organism: Gossypium raimondii (Peruvian cotton)
Lineage: Eukaryota; Viridiplantae; Streptophyta; Magnoliopsida; Malvales; Malvaceae
Exons: 3
Source: RefSeq, a predicted model, not a curated record
CUAAGCAGCUUUUGGAUAAGCUUGUUGUGGUGAAGAAUAAUGGAGCUUUGGGAAAGAAUAUGGGUUUCGGUGGUCCCGAAUGGGGGUUGGAGAAUACGAUCAAAGGGAAAACAUCAGAUAUGGUUCCCAGCCAAGCAGUGGCUUCUUAGACACCCAACAUUUUGCACAACCAAAUAUGACCACAACUUUUAAACCUACAUGUUGAGGAUUCACAUUCAAGGAGCAAGAAACAUCUCAGCAACUUAUUGGGAUCGAGUAGUCAAAAUUCAGAAUCAAGUGACACACAAGAGCUAGAUUUGGAGC